RNAcentral lists this ribosomal RNA (2143 nucleotides) under freshwater metagenome. RNAcentral describes it as "bacterial LSU rRNA". It matches the Rfam family "Bacterial large subunit ribosomal RNA", at positions 1 to 1984 of the family's 2925-position model. The record is from RNAcentral.
ACAAAUUAAUAAGUGCAAAUGGCGGAUGCCUAGGCACCAGAAGCCGAUGAAGGUCGUAGGAGGCUGCGAAAAGCCUCGGGGAGCCGCCAACCAGGCUUCGAUCCGAGGAUUACCGAAUGGGGAAACCCGGCUGGAGUAAUGUCCAGUCAUUUCUCUCUGAAUAAAUAGGAGAGUCAAAGGUAACGAGGGGAAGUGAAACAUCUCAGUACCCUCAGGAAGAGAAAACAACCGUGAUUCCGUUAGUAGUGGCGAGCGAACGCGGAAGAGGCUAAACCAAUCAUGUGCCAAGCCGGCAGGCCUUGCAUGAUCGGUGUCGUGGGACUAAAUGAAAUUAACUGCCGUUAAUUUAACAAGUCAGAAAAUAAUGAAAUAGAUGAAGGACGUGGGAAAGUCCGGCAUAGAAGGUGAGACCCCUGUAGUCGAAAUUUCAUUAUCUUGUUUUUAGUAUCCCAAGUAAUACCGGACUCGUGUAAUCCGGUAUGAAUCUGGCGGGACCACCCGCUAAGCCUAAAUACUCUCUGGUGACCGAUAGUGAACAAGUACCGUGAGGGAAAGGUGAAAAGAACCCCGCAAGGGGAGUGAAAUAGAAUCUGAAACCGUUUGCAUACAAACCGUUGGAGCUGCCUUGUGCAGUGACAGCGUGCCUUUUGAAGAAUGAGUCUACGAGUUAGUGUGAUGUGGCAAGGUUAACCCGUCGAGGGGAAGCCGUAGCGAAAGCGAGUCUGAAUAGGGCGAAUAAGUCGCAUCAUCUAAACCCGAAGCGAGGUGAUCUCGCCAUGACCAGGUUGAAGCGCGGGUAAGACCGCGUGGAGGACCGAACCCACUAAAGUUGAAAAUUUAGGGGAUGAGUUGUGGCUAGGGGUGAAAGACCAAUCAAACUUCGUGAUAGCUGGUUCUCUCCGAAAUGCAUUUAGGUGCAGCGUCACGUGUUUCUUACUGGAGGUAGAGCUACUGGAUGGCCGAGGGGUCCUACAAGAUUACCAACGUCAGCCAAACUCCGAAUGCCAGUAAGUGAGAACGUGGCAGUGAGACAGUGGGGGAUAAGCUUCAUUGUCGAGAGGGAAACAACCCAGAACAGCAACUAAGGUCCCAAAGCCUGUGCUAAGUGGAAAAGGAUGUGAAGUCGCAUAGACAACCAGGAGGUUGGCUUAGAAGCAGCCACCCUUAAAAGAGUGCGUAAUAGCUCACUGGUCAAGUGAUUUCGCGCCGACAAUGUAACGGGGCUCAAGCACAGCACCGACGUUCUGUCAUUCACACACUAUCCCGGUCGCAAGAUCCAGGAGUGUGGAUGGGUAGGAGAGCGUUGUGUAACUAGUGAAGCGGCGGAGGAAUCCAGCCGUGGAAGUUACACAAGUGAGAAUGUAGACAUGAGUAGCGAAAGACGGGUGAGAAACCCGUCCACCGAAUGACCAAGGGUUCCUGAGCUAGGCUAAUCCGCUCAGGGUAAGUCGGGUCCUAAGGCGAGGCCGACAGGCGUAGUCGAUGGACAACUGGUUGAUAUUCCAGUACCCGCAAUAAACCGUCCAUGACGAAUCAAUAAUGCUAAGUGUUUGAAGUUGGCUAGCAAUAGCUGAUGGAGCGCACGACCCAAGUUGUUAGUAGUCAAGCAAUGGAGAGACGCAGGAAGGUAGUCCAACCCAGGCGAUGGUUGACCUGGGGUAAGAGUGUAGGAGGUUCUGUAGGAAAAUCCGCAGAACAAUCUCUGAGACUUAAUGCCGAGCCGUAAGGCGAAGUGGAUGAUCCUAUGCUGCCAAGAAAAUCUUCUAGCGAGGUUUAUAGUGGCCCGUACCCGAAACCGACGCAGGUGGUCAGGUAGAGAAUACCAAGGUGAUCGAGAGAAUCGUGGUGAAGGAACUCGGCAAAAUACCCCCGUAACUUCGGGAGAAGGGGGGCUAAUUUUUGUGUAGAGGUUUACCUUCGAAGCAUAAGUUAGACGCAGAGAAUAGGCUCAAGCGACUGUUUACCAAAAACACAGGUCCGUGCGAAGUUGCAAAACGAUGUAUACGGACUGACGCCUGCCCGGUGCUGGAAGGUUAAGGGGACUGGUUAGCCGCAAGGCGAAGCUGAGAACUUAAGCCCCAGUAAACGGCGGUGGUAACUAUAACCAUCCUAAGGUAGCGAAAUUCCUUGUCGGGUAAGUUCC